This 453-nucleotide ribosomal RNA is filed under the name uncultured bacterium. Its description in RNAcentral is "bacterial SSU rRNA". It matches the Rfam family "Bacterial small subunit ribosomal RNA", at positions 340 to 783 of the family's 1533-position model. The record is from RNAcentral.
UACGGAAGGCAGCAGUGGGGAAUAUUGCACAAUGGGCGCAAGCCUGAUGCAGCCAUGCCGCGUGUAUGAAGAAGGCCUUCGGGUUGUAAAGUACUUUCAGUCGUGAGGAAGGUGUUAAGGUUAAUAACCUUAGCAAUUGACGUUAGCGACAGAAGAAGCACCGGCUAACUCCGUGCCAGCAGCCGCGGUAAUACGGAGGGUGCGAGCGUUAAUCGGAAUUACUGGGCGUAAAGGGCACGCAGGCGGUUAAUUAAGUUGGAUGUGAAAUCCCCGGGCUUAACCUGGGAAUGGCAUUCAAGACUGGUUAGCUAGAGUCUUGUAGAGGGGGUAGAAUUCCAUGUGUAGCGGUGAAAUGCGUAGAGAUGUGGAGGAAUACCGGUGGCGAAGGCGGCCCCUGGGACAAAGACUGACGCUCAUGUGCGAAAGCGUGGGGAGCGAAACAGGGAUUUAGAU